Molecule: ribosomal RNA, 467 nt
Filed under: uncultured bacterium
Lineage: Bacteria
Description: partial 16S ribosomal RNA
Rfam family: Bacterial small subunit ribosomal RNA
Source: RNAcentral
GACGAACGCUGGCGGCGUGCUUAACACAUGCAAGUCGAACGGAAAGGCCCUGCUUUUGUGGGGUGCUCGAGUGGCGAACGGGUGAGUAACACGUGAGUAACCUGCCCUUGACUUUGGGAUAACUUCAGGAAACUGGGGCUAAUACCGGAUAGGAGCUCCUGCUGCAUGGUGGGGGUUGGAAAGUUUCGGCGGUUGGGGAUGGACUCGCGGCUUAUCAGCUUGUUGGUGGGGUAGUGGCUUACCAAGGCUUUGACGGGUAGCCGGCCUGAGAGGGUGACCGGCCACAUUGGGACUGAGAUACGGCCCAGACUCCUACGGGAGGCAGCAGUGGGGAAUAUUGCACAAUGGGCGGAAGCCUGAUGCAGCAACGCCGCGUGCGGGAUGACGGCCUUCGGGUUAGAAACCGCUUUCGCCUGUGACGAAGCGUGAGUGACGGUAAUGGGUAAAGAAGCACCGGCUAACUACGU